GGUGAGUAACACGUGGAUAACCUACCUAUAAGACUGGGAUAACUUCGGGAAACCGGAGCUAAUACCGGAUAAUAUAUUGAACCGCAUGGUUCAAUAGUGAAAGACGGUUUUGCUGCCACUUAUAGAUGGAUCCGCGCCGCAUUAGCUAGUUGGUAAGGUAACGGCUUACCAAGGCAACGAUGCGUAGCCGACCUGAGAGGGUGAUCGGCCACACUGGAACUGAGACACGGUCCAG
This 235-nucleotide ribosomal RNA is filed under the name uncultured Staphylococcus sp. RNAcentral's name for it is "partial 16S ribosomal RNA". It matches the Rfam family "Bacterial small subunit ribosomal RNA", at positions 105 to 334 of the family's 1533-position model. The record is from RNAcentral. Lineage: Bacteria; Bacillati; Bacillota; Bacilli; Caryophanales; Staphylococcaceae.